RNAcentral lists this ribosomal RNA (390 nucleotides) under uncultured Streptococcus sp. Its description in RNAcentral is "bacterial SSU rRNA". It matches the Rfam family "Bacterial small subunit ribosomal RNA", at positions 267 to 649 of the family's 1533-position model. The record is from RNAcentral. Lineage: Bacteria; Bacillati; Bacillota; Bacilli; Lactobacillales; Streptococcaceae.
ACCAAGGCGACGAUACAUAGCCGACCUGAGAGGGUGAUCGGCCACACUGGGACUGAGACACGGCCCAGACUCCUACGGGAGGCAGCAGUAGGGAAUCUUCGGCAAUGGACGGAAGUCUGACCGAGCAACGCCGCGUGAGUGAAGAAGGUUUUCGGAUCGUAAAGCUCUGUUGUAAGAGAAGAACGAGUGUGAGAGUGGAAAGUUCACACUGUGACGGUAUCUUACCAGAAAGGGACGGCUAACUACGUGCCAGCAGCCGCGGUAAUACGUAGGUCCCGAGCGUUGUCCGGAUUUAUUGGGCGUAAAGCGAGCGCAGGCGGUUAGAUAAGUCUGAAGUUAAAGGCUGCGGCUUAACCAUAGUAGGCUUUGGAAACUGUUUAACUUGAGUGC